Molecule: ribosomal RNA, 260 nt
Filed under: uncultured bacterium
Lineage: Bacteria
Description: partial 16S ribosomal RNA
Rfam family: Bacterial small subunit ribosomal RNA
Source: RNAcentral
GACAGAGGAUGCAAGCGUUAUCCGGAAUGAUUGGGCGUAAAGCGUCUGUAGGUGGCUUCACAAGUCUCCUGUCAAAGAUCAGGGGCUCAACCCUGGACAGGCAGGAGAAACUAUGAGGCUAGAGUUCGGUAGGGGCAGAGGGAAUUCCCGGUGGAGCGGUGAAAAUGCGUAGAGAUCGGGAGGAACACCAAAGGCGAAGGCACUCUGCUGGGGCCGCAACUGACACUGAGAGACGAAAAGCGAGGGGGAGCAAAAAGGGG